GUGCUUGCUUUGCCAGGACAUAUACGAAAACUGAAAUGAUAUAGAGAAGAUUAGCAUGGCCUCUAUGCAAGGAUGACACAAAUUUGUGAAGCAUUCCAUAUUUUA
RNAcentral lists this small nuclear RNA (105 nucleotides) under Dasypus novemcinctus (nine-banded armadillo). The record is from RNAcentral. Lineage: Eukaryota; Metazoa; Chordata; Mammalia; Cingulata; Dasypodidae.